RNAcentral lists this transfer RNA (93 nucleotides) under Halobacillus mangrovi. Its description in RNAcentral is "tRNA-Ser". It matches the Rfam family "tRNA". From Rfam's summary of the family: Transfer RNA (tRNA) molecules are approximately 80 nucleotides in length. Their secondary structure includes four short double-helical elements and three loops (D, anti-codon, and T loops). Lineage: Bacteria; Bacillati; Bacillota; Bacilli; Caryophanales; Bacillaceae. The record is from RNAcentral. RNAcentral also lists the same sequence under 1 other name.
GGAGGAGUACCCAAGUCCGGCUGAAGGGAGCGGUCUUGAAAACCGCCAGGAGGUUUGCGCCUCGCGGGGGUUCGAAUCCCUCCUCCUCCGCCA